Molecule: long non-coding RNA, 1137 nt
Filed under: Olea europaea subsp. europaea
Lineage: Eukaryota; Viridiplantae; Streptophyta; Magnoliopsida; Lamiales; Oleaceae
Source: RNAcentral
UGAGCUGCUUUAUCACCUUUCGUUCAAAUCUAAAUUAAUUUGGAUUGUUAAUGAUGGGUUGGUAGAUUAGUGGAUUGCUUAAGAGAAGACUACUCAACCAAGUUCUCAAAAAUUCAUAUUAAAUUGUUUAUCAAUUGUUAAUGAUGACAGACAUUCUCCAUUCCCCCCACCAAUCGCUUCACCUUUUAUUGCGAAAAAGAAAGAGAUGCACUGUGUACUAAGUUCAAGACAACGGUUAAUAUAAAGUCUGAUUUUUAUGUUUUUUAAGAAUUAAGCACUGGGAUAUUUAUUGACCGGAGCCUGUAUGCAAGUUUGAUUGUUUUGAGUGGAAGGGUCCUAAUGGUCUAAUAGAGCAUUAUUAGGAAUUUGAACCAAUGAAAAGCUGCUUACCUUGGCCAAUGAUUUUAUAACAGGUUAAUCUUUAUUCAUUAGUUCCAAUGCUUAAACAGUACCAAAACUCAAAUCUUAUUGGCUUCAAGGAUCUACUUUUUGAGCACUAGACUUUGUUGUCAAUUUUCAGUCAAUCGGAAUUACUAUCUCGGUUUAGUGCUAUUUUUGUUGGCAAUUUUCCUUGAGGCCACACAAUUCCCUUAAUUCUCUGCUUGCGGAGUUCUUGAACUAAAGUCGCGAAUACAAUCAAAGAAUCGCGUUCCAUGUACAAAGUCGUGUUGAACUUGCCCAAGCAUAAUUUGCAGCAAACCUGUGCAUUUUUCUUCGCUCUGACAACAAUGGAUUUUCCAUUUUUUCUGCUAUAAACCGUCUUGCAAUCUACAUAGAAAUCAGUAAUCUACGUACUAAUUAGCAGGAAAAUUUGUAAUAAGAAAAAAGUGGAUAGACCUGGAUCCGGAAAACAAAAAUGGUGGCUGCGUCUGGAAUUAAUGCCUUCGCCAAAGAGAUAGCCAUUCGCAAACGCAUUGCCAACAUGUAUGUUUUUUCUUUUUAAUAUACAAAUAUUUUACUUAUUUAUGUUUUUAUGUGAAAUACAAAAAUGGGUUUUGGGCUUUUGUUGUGCUUUUAAUUGAUCAUAAAACCUAUGCAACUUUUGUUCCUUUUUAGGGGUUUUUCAUUAUUUUGUAUAAAGGUGGAAAUUUAUUGGAUUGUUUAUUUUGUUAGGCAACUGGAAUUACUUAUGCAUAG